Molecule: ribosomal RNA, 1483 nt
Filed under: Helicobacter pylori
Lineage: Bacteria; Pseudomonadati; Campylobacterota; Epsilonproteobacteria; Campylobacterales; Helicobacteraceae
Description: bacterial SSU rRNA
Rfam family: Bacterial small subunit ribosomal RNA
Source: RNAcentral
AGAGUUUGAUCCUGGCUCAGAGUGAACGCUGGCGGCGUGCCUAAUACAUGCAAGUCGAACGAUGAAGCUUCUAGCUUGCUAGAAGUGGAUUAGUGGCGCACGGGUGAGUAACGCAUAGGUCAUGUGCCUCUUAGUUUGGGAUAGCCAUUGGAAACGAUGAUUAAUACCAGAUACUCCCUACGGGGGAAAGAUUUAUCGCUAAGAGAUCAGCCUAUGUCCUAUCAGCUUGUUGGUAAGGUAAUGGCUUACCAAGGCUAUGACGGGUAUCCGGCCUGAGAGGGUGAACGGACACACUGGAACUGAGACACGGUCCAGACUCCUACGGGAGGCAGCAGUAGGGAAUAUUGCUCAAUGGGGGAAACCCUGAAGCAGCAACGCCGCGUGGAGGAUGAAGGUUUUAGGAUUGUAAACUCCUUUUGUUAGAGAAGAUAAUGACGGUAUCUAACGAAUAAGCACCGGCUAACUCCGUGCCAGCAGCCGCGGUAAUACGGAGGGUGCAAGCGUUACUCGGAAUCACUGGGCGUAAAGAGCGCGUAGGCGGGAUAGUCAGUCAGGUGUGAAAUCCUAUGGCUUAACCAUAGAACUGCAUUUGAAACUACUAUUCUAGAGUGUGGGAGAGGUAGGUGGAAUUCUUGGUGUAGGGGUAAAAUCCGUAGAGAUCAAGAGGAAUACUCAUUGCGAAGGCGACCUGCUGGAACAUUACUGACGCUGAUUGUGCGAAAGCGUGGGGAGCAAACAGGAUUAGAUACCCUGGUAGUCCACGCCCUAAACGAUGGAUGCUAGUUGUUGGAGGGCUUAGUCUCUCCAGUAAUGCAGCUAACGCAUUAAGCAUCCCGCCUGGGGAGUACGGUCGCAAGAUUAAAACUCAAAGGAAUAGACGGGGACCCGCACAAGCGGUGGAGCAUGUGGUUUAAUUCGAAGAUACACGAAGAACCUUACCUAGGCUUGACAUUGAGAGAAUCCGCUAGAAAUAGUGGAGUGUCUAGCUUGCUAGACCUUGAAAACAGGUGCUGCACGGCUGUCGUCAGCUCGUGUCGUGAGAUGUUGGGUUAAGUCCCGCAACGAGCGCAACCCCCUUUCUUAGUUGCUAACAGGUCAUGCUGAGAACUCUAAGGAUACUGCCUCCGUAAGGAGGAGGAAGGUGGGGACGACGUCAAGUCAUCAUGGCCCUUACGCCUAGGGCUACACACGUGCUACAAUGGGGUGCACAAAGAGAAGCAAUACUGCGAAGUGGAGCCAAUCUUCAAAACGCCUCUCAGUUCGGAUUGUAGGCUGCAACUCGCCUGCAUGAAGCUGGAAUCGCUAGUAAUCGCAAAUCAGCCAUGUUGCGGUGAAUACGUUCCCGGGUCUUGUACUCACCGCCCGUCACACCAUGGGAGUUGUGUUUGCCUUAAGUCAGGAUGCUAAAUUAGCUACUGCCCACGGCACACACAGCGACUGGGGUGAAGUCGUAACAAGGUAACCGUAGGUGAACCUGCGGUUG